This is an RNA transcript of Microcebus murinus (gray mouse lemur), 7494 nucleotides long. It is a transcript of the gene named glutamate metabotropic receptor 7, with no coding region annotated. The record is from RefSeq and is a predicted model, not a curated record. NCBI's taxonomy places the organism in Eukaryota, Metazoa, Chordata, Mammalia, Primates, Cheirogaleidae.
GCUCGCCCCGAGGGGCCCGGACCUCGGCGAGCCCGCCACGGUCCCCUCCGGCGCCACCGCCACCGCCGCCGCCGGAGCAGCAUGGCCCAGCUGGGGAAGCCGCUGCGCGCCCUGACUUCGCUGAAGUCCCCCUGCUGCGUGCUCGAGGUGCUCCUGUGCGCGCUGGCGGCGGCGGCGCGCGGCCAGGAGAUGUACGCCCCGCACUCCAUCCGGAUCGAGGGGGACGUCACCCUCGGGGGGCUGUUCCCGGUGCACGCCAAGGGCCCCAGCGGAGUGCCCUGCGGCGACAUCAAGAGGGAGAGCGGGAUCCACAGGCUGGAGGCGAUGCUCUACGCCCUGGACCAGAUCAACAGCGACCCCAACCUACUGCCCAACGUGACGCUGGGCGCGCGGAUCCUGGACACUUGUUCCAGGGACACUCACGCGCUCGAGCAGUCGCUCGCUUUCGUGCAGGCGCUCAUCCAGAAGGACACGUCCGACGUGCGCUGCACCAACGGCGAGCCCCCCGUGUUCGUCAGGCCGGAGAAAGUAGUUGGAGUGAUCGGGGCUUCGGGGAGUUCGGUCUCCAUCAUGGUAGCCAACAUCCUGAGGCUUUUCCAGAUCCCCCAGAUCAGCUACGCGUCGACGGCCCCGGAGCUGAGCGACGACCGCCGCUACGACUUCUUCUCCCGCGUGGUGCCCCCCGACUCCUUCCAAGCCCAGGCCAUGGUGGACAUCGUCAAGGCCCUGGGCUGGAACUACGUGUCGACCCUCGCGUCUGAGGGAAGCUACGGAGAGAAAGGUGUGGAGUCCUUCACGCAGAUUUCCAAAGAGGCAGGUGGGCUCUGCAUUGCCCAGUCCGUGAGAAUCCCCCAGGAGCGCAGAGACAGGACCAUUGACUUUGAUAGAAUUAUCAAACAGCUCCUGGACACCCCCAACUCCAGGGCCAUCGUGAUUUUUGCCAACGAUGAGGAUAUAAAGCAGAUCCUGGCGGCAGCCAAAAGAGCGGACCAGGUGGGCCACUUUCUCUGGGUGGGGUCCGACAGCUGGGGGUCCAAGAUAAACCCCCUGCACCAGCACGAAGACAUCGCAGAAGGAGCCAUCACCAUUCAGCCCAAGAGAGCCACUGUGGAAGGGUUUGACGCCUACUUCACGUCCCGCACGCUUGAAAACAAUAGAAGAAACGUAUGGUUUGCCGAGUACUGGGAGGAGAACUUCAACUGCAAGUUGACGAUUAGUGGGUCCAAAAAAGAAGACACAGAUCGCAAAUGCACAGGGCAGGAGAGAAUUGGGAAGGAUUCCAACUACGAGCAGGAAGGUAAAGUUCAGUUUGUGAUUGACGCUGUCUACGCCAUGGCUCACGCCCUCCACCACAUGAACAAGGAUCUCUGUGCUGACUACCGGGGCGUCUGCCCAGAGAUGGAGCAAGCCGGAGGCAAGAAGUUGCUGAAGUAUAUCCGCAAUGUCAACUUCAACGGCAGCGCGGGCACGCCAGUGAUGUUCAACAAGAACGGGGAUGCCCCAGGGCGCUACGACAUCUUCCAGUACCAGGCGACAAACACCACCAGCCCUGGCUACCGUCUGAUCGGGCAGUGGACGGACGAGCUUCAGCUCAACAUAGAGGACAUGCAGUGGGGAAAAGGAGUCAGGGAGAUCCCGGCCUCGGUGUGCACCCGGCCCUGCAAGCCAGGGCAGAGGAAGAAGACGCAGAAGGGCACUCCGUGCUGCUGGACCUGCGAGCCGUGCGACGGCUACCAGUACCAGUUUGACGAGGUGACGUGCCAGCACUGCCCGUACGACCAGAGGCCGAACGAGAACCGCACGGGCUGCCAGGACAUCCCCAUCAUCAAGCUGGAGUGGCACUCGCCCUGGGCCGUCAUCCCAGUCUUCCUGGCCAUGCUGGGCAUCGUCGCCACCCUCUUCGUGAUGGCCACCUUCAUCCGCUACAACGACACCCCCAUCGUGCGGGCGUCGGGCCGGGAGCUCAGCUACGUGCUGCUGACGGGCAUUUUCCUCUGCUACAUCAUCACCUUCCUGAUGAUCGCGAAGCCCGACGUGGCGGUGUGCUCCUUCCGGCGGGUGUUCCUGGGCCUGGGCAUGUGCAUCAGCUACGCGGCCCUCCUGACCAAAACCAACCGGAUCUACCGCAUAUUCGAGCAGGGCAAGAAGUCGGUCACCGCCCCCAGGCUCAUCAGCCCCACGUCCCAGCUGGCCAUCGCCUCCAGCCUGAUAUCCGUCCAGCUGCUGGGCGUCUUCAUCUGGUUCGGCGUCGACCCCCCGAACAUCGUCGUGGACUACGACGAGCACAAGACGAUGAGCCCCGAGCAGGCCAGGGGCGUCCUCAAGUGUGACAUCACAGACCUGCAGAUCAUCUGCUCCCUGGGGUACAGCAUCCUCCUCAUGGUCACGUGCACUGUGUACGCCAUCAAGACUCGGGGUGUGCCCGAGAAUUUUAACGAGGCCAAGCCCAUCGGGUUCACCAUGUACACGACGUGUAUAGUGUGGCUCGCCUUCAUCCCGAUUUUCUUCGGCACCGCUCAGUCGGCGGAGAAGCUCUACAUACAAACCACCACGCUCACCGUCUCCAUGAACCUGAGCGCGUCCGUGGCGCUCGGCAUGCUGUACAUGCCGAAGGUGUACGUCAUCAUCUUCCACCCCGAGCUCAACGUCCAGAAGCGGAAGCGCAGCUUCAAGGCCGUGGUCACGGCCGCCACCAUGUCGUCCCGGCUGUCGCACAAACCCAGUGACAGGCCCAACGGCGAGGCCAAGACAGAGCUCUGCGAGAACGUGGAUCCCAACAACUGUAUACCACCAGUAAGAAAGAGUGUACAAAAGUCUGUUACUUGGUACACUAUCCCACCAACAGUAUAGCUUUUGACUGCUUUCUAAAAGGUAAGAAAACAAUCUAAUUCUUAUUUGUUUGUGUGUUCUUGUCUGCGCUGAGAGUUGGAAAUGUUUCCAGGAAAACUGUGCAUGACUGAUGACCUAUCAAUCUAUCUGUACGAAGAAAUGCAUUUUCAGAGAUGAACUACUAAUCUGAUAAGCUUAGUGCCGGGAACCUGCCAUGGGUCACAUUCUUUUCUGGAGUGUAUGUUUAUGAACGUGUGCACGUGUGCACACUUGUCGCUCUUGAACGACCAGCCAAUGUUGCAGAGAAUUGGUGCUGGUCACCCUACCACUGGUGAGGAACUCUUUUUCAGUGUGUGUUUUCCCGCUCUGGUUUUGGAAGGCCAUGUGGGAAACUUAAGAGGGUUUUUUUACAAGCCUAGUAAAAAUGUUUUGUUCUGGUUUAUUUUUAUGAAACAUGUUCCAAGAAAUGUCCACAUUCCCAGACAUGUAUCCAUUCAAAAACAAAUCAUUGGCCUUAUCUUAAACCUAAGAUUGACUUGGUUCCCCCUCUUCGCAACAGAUAAAUAGGACAAAAGUUUACCGCCUGGGUUUGAUGAUGUGUUGGUGAGGAUGGGAACAUUGAGAAACACUGAACUGACUUCAGUCACUGCGUGGAAGCAGAGAAAGGGUCUAAUAUCUAAAGAUGAGUUUCAACCUGAGUUGAACCCAGGAAAUACCAAUACACACCAAGGGUAUCCACACAAACAGCUUAGGGAAAGUGAUGGAUGGUGUGCUGUGUGGACUGGCCACAUGAACGGGCUGGCCUACAAAUAAUCAAGCCACAUCUUGGUGCUGAUAUGUUACUUUGAGCUCCCACCAAAGAAUACAUGCUCUGAAAGAAUAUUAUCAUGUCCCUGCUUCGGCCUACACAACAUUCUAUUUAUGAUACAGUGCAGCGCAAGGCUGGCUUUGGCCGGCAUCCUCGGCGGGCUGGAGCUAAGGCUUUCUAAACCGUGGCAAAAUGAAAAGUAGAGAACAUGGAAAAAGUCAUUACAGUCACGUGGUGGCUUUGAAUAAAAGCUGAACUCCUAUUGUGCUUACAAAAUAGAGAGACCUCUCUCUGGGGACAUUCCAAGAUACUAAGCAGUGAGUUCAUGCCAUGGGAAGAGAAAUGUAUUGCUUAAUAUCGUGGGCUGGUCUUUCUCUCCCCUCCGCCACUAUCAUGGGACCUCUCAUCAGAUCGUUGCUGUUUCUUCCCAUCUUUGUUUUGGUAAUGGUAUUCUGAAUGCAAAUAAUAUCUUGUUCUCUCUCUCUCUCUCUCUUUUCAUUUAUCCAUUUAGCACUGUAAGACAAGACAAGAGUACUUUCAAAGAGUAAUUACAUUUCCUGUUGAUUUCAGAUGGAGGCCAGCAACCCAGUCUUUAAUUUAGGAUGUAUUGUUCACACAGUCACUUCCCUUUCCCAUAUCAACAUGAUCUGUCCUACUUUUUAAAUAGGGCAUUAUUUUCUACCAGUGAAUAUAUAACUGUAUUCCAGUGAGACUUCAAGUUUUUUGCAGUACAAGUGCUUGUCAAAACACUGCAGCUCAUCACUUUAAUAAUCUUUUUACAUGAGGCUGCCUGAGAAUAAAUGAGAAGGAAUUUUCCCUGGGUAAAAAAAAAAAUGGUAGAUUUAAUCUCAAUCCAUUAAAAAUUCUCUUUUGCUCCUUUCUAAGUUGAUGCCUUUUGGUUUAAAGGGAGUCAAAUGAAAAUGUGAAAAUAUUUUUAGUCAAUCUUAGAGUUAAAAAGUACUUUCAGAAGGAUGUUCUGUUUAGGAAAAAAUUCAAACUUUUUGCUAAAAUUAUCUUGCCUCAAAGAUUUUGAGUAGACAAAUUCCAAGAGAGCAAACAGUAAAGGCUUAAUAUGGGAGGUGGGAAAAUAUUGCUUAAUAAUGUGGACUUGUCUUUUUUUUUUCCUAUGCCGAUAUCAUGGGACUUUUAUCAAUUCAUGUUCUGUGUCUUCCCAUCUUUGUUUCUGUAAUGGCCUUCUGCAUGCAAACAAUAUUUGUAUUGGGUCUCCUUUUCUGAGCAACUUAAAUAAGGCUUUAAAAGCUAAUAAAUAGCCAUCCUACAUAACUACUUAUAAAUGAUCAGGAAUGGAAGUCGGUUCAAUUGUGUUCAUUCAAAGAACAUGUCAUUCACAUGGUGCAGGUCUCCAGCGAGGCUGGCGAAUUUGGGAGAUCUGUGAAAGGGCUGCUUAGUGUUGUUUGUUCAGAUCCGCUGCUAUGUGAUUGCUUAGGAAGGCAUAAUAGUAAAGAGAAAACGGUUAACUUUUGUACUACCGUGCUAUUGAAACCUCAGUUCCAGCCACCACGUCCCGACAAAGGCACAGUAACAUACGACAAAUCCAACAAUUGCUUGCAGGGAGUUGAAGGAACCGGGGUUCAAAUUCAGACAGAACGAAACCUAACCUGGUUUGAAAACAGUUUCCCCAGAAUACUUGUGUUUAAAAGCAUUCUCGUGUGAAAAACACCGCAGGCCAGAUAUCAGCAGAAUCAAUGAUCCCUGCAUCUUUUAUCAGAAUGUUUAUACAUUUUAAGAUUCUGCAAAGUGCUGUCUAAUCUAACGGACAUUUAUUUAAAAGUGUGACUCAGCAAAAAGAAAAAUGAAGCGCGCUUGCUUCACCACCAGGUGAGGAAACACAAUUUGUUAGGAGGUCAGUUUUCAUACCGCAGGCUGGUGUUCUGGUUAAGAAAUUAUAAAAGCCUUGCAAGUAUGGAUACAGAGAAGCCCCGAGUCAUGUUUUUAUAAGGUUUCGUUCUCAUGAACAUGCUAUUAUUGACACCUCACUCAUUUAUUAAGUGGUAUUUAAAAAUUAAUAAUCUCUUGUUUCUUGUAGUCACUAUGAUGGGAUUAUUUAGAAAUGUAGCUUUUUGCAACAGUGCAAUGCAAGUUUUUGUAUCGCGUUCAGACUCUCCGUCUGUUAACAUUCAGUGUGAUAUGUCUGCUCUAACCGCAAACCACAUCCUGCUUUAAAAUCCGCUUUGAAACACUCUAUACAUACAGCCUAGCCAAGACUAUUUGUUAUCUGACCUUUGACAUUGAACCGCCUUGGAACGAACGUAGCUAUAAAUCUUUUUGGCGCAUUUCUGUCUGCCCAAGAGCUCUGUGAAGCACUUCUCUCAUCAAGCAUCUCCCAUCAAGGUUUGAUAUCCCAGCCUAACUUCAAAAACCCAGUUAAAUAUUUGCCAUCUGUGUUCUGCAACUUGAGUUCAACUUAGAGAACGGGAUGAGAGCUCACGUGGCUAGUAUUUCUAGAAACUUCCAUACGCAUCACGGACACUGUGUCAAGUUUUUACAUUUAAGUAUUGUAUGUAACUGCCCGGUCUGGGUCGAGAUGUAUGAAACUGUAAGACUGUUCUGAAGUUGGGUCGAUCAAAGACAUGUUUGCUGAGCGCCCCUGCUCUGGGUCAGCCCUGAACUGAUUAGAAAUGGGAGGCAACCAUGGAUGAUGGCUCCAGGGAGCACAGAUUGGAUGGAAGACGCCAAGGUGAGCAGUUUUGAUUCAGGCUGCGUUUGGAGAGCAUUGCCCGGGAGGGCUCGUGUGAGCUGGUCUUAAGAGAUGAAGGACUGCAGGCCGCCACACAAGGGAAAGCACUGGAGGCAGGGAGAAGUAUGCAAAAAAAGCGCUCGGUACGCGGGAGGACGUGGUAUGUUCUGGGACCAGAUGCGGUGCUACGAGGCUGGCGCACUGGGUUUGUGGGAGACAGCUUCAGGAGGCAAAGCGCAGGAAGCAGCCCGAGGGUGGAGGGCUGGGUCUCUUUUAUCUCUGUGCCUUUAGACCCAGGGCUGGAAAACACUAGGCUCUCAGAAAACACGGGUGGGAUGUGGAGAGCAUUACAUCUCCCAUGCCAAAGACACCUAGUCUUACCCUAGAACCUGAUAGGUACAGUGAACAUUUAUAAGUGAAUAAUUAUUUAUGAAUAAUAAGAAACUAGCCAGUGUCCAACCUCAGGAGGUAGAGUUAUACACUUUCAGAUAAAGUUUCUAAGUUUGCAAAGACUGCCCUGAAAAGACAGUUUUUUUUUACCCUGAUGUCACGGGUUCUAAAGAAAUUUGUUAAAGUGUUCAUGUGUAGCUCCUAAAACUGACCUCAACCUCCAGACUUGGGUGAUUGACAUCUCUUUUGAGACACUACACCCACAUAUAAAACCAAAGUUUAUGCCUGUUUCUUUUCUUUUGUGGACUACAUAUAUCCAUACUAUUUAUUUUUCUUUCAAAGGGCACAGAAACUUGAAAGUUUCCCUUGGAAAUGGAUCCUAAGCACUUGGUUUAAAUAGUUCUGAUUUUGGUAAAAACAUAAUCUUAAAUUGGUGAUUUUCUAAUUAUUGAGCUCAUUUUCUUAGAGGCUGCCAUGAAGGACAGAUUUUUGUCUUUUAGGCUUCCAAGUAUCAUUUGUAUGUAUUUUUUUUUAAGUGUGUGUCCUGAAGCAGAGUCAGUUAAUCUCUGAAACCUCCCCUCCCCCAUCACUGUGAACGAGCGUCUUCUCAGUAUCCACCCGACGGUGGCUCUUGUUUCCGCCUCCUAAAGACGUAUCUCAACUUUGCAGAUAUUUGCCCCCUUUGGCUGUACAGUGGAACUUGGAUACAUUUUCAAUUAACUUUCUCUAGGAAUCAAAGAGUAAGCUCUGAGGACCCUCAGCUUGUCCG